GGGCCGAUAGCUCAGCCAGGCAGAGCGACUGGCUCUUAACCAGUCGGUCGAGGGUUCAAAUCCCUCUCGGCCCG
RNAcentral lists this transfer RNA (74 nucleotides) under Halobacteriales archaeon QH_7_66_36. RNAcentral describes it as "tRNA-Lys". It matches the Rfam family "tRNA". Rfam says of the family: Transfer RNA (tRNA) molecules are approximately 80 nucleotides in length. RNAcentral also lists the same sequence under 1 other name. The record is from RNAcentral. Lineage: Archaea; Methanobacteriati; Methanobacteriota; Halobacteria; Halobacteriales.